GAUGAACAACGCAGCGAAAUGCGAUACGUAAUGUGAAUUGCAAAUUCAGUGAAUCAUCGAGUCUUUGAACGCACAUUGCGCCCCCUGGUAUUCCGGGGGGCAUGCCUGUCCGAGCGUCAUUGCUGCCCUCAAGCACGGCUUGUGUGUUGGGCCCCGUCCUCCGAUCCCGGGGGACGGGCCCGAAAGGCAGCGGCGGCACCGCGUCCGGUCCUCGAGCGUAUGGGGCUUUGUCACCCGCUCUGUAGGCCCGGCCGGCGCUUGCCGAUCAACCCAAAUUUUUAUCCAGGUUGACCUCGGAUCAGGUAGGGAUACCCGCUGAACUUAAGCAUAUCAAUAAGCGGAGGA
RNAcentral lists this unclassified non-coding RNA (345 nucleotides) under soil metagenome. Its description in RNAcentral is "partial contains 5.8S ribosomal RNA, internal transcribed spacer 2, and large subunit ribosomal RNA". The stretch from base 1 to 119 matches the Rfam family "5.8S ribosomal RNA", at positions 35 to 154 of the family's 154-position model. The record is from RNAcentral.